RNAcentral lists this ribosomal RNA (2909 nucleotides) under Salmonella enterica. RNAcentral's name for it is "23S ribosomal RNA". It matches the Rfam family "Bacterial large subunit ribosomal RNA". Lineage: Bacteria; Pseudomonadati; Pseudomonadota; Gammaproteobacteria; Enterobacterales; Enterobacteriaceae. The record is from RNAcentral.
GGUUAAGCGACUAAGCGUACACGGUGGAUGCCCUGGCAGUCAGAGGCGAUGAAGGGCGUGCUAAUCUGCGAUAAGCGCCGGUAAGGUGAUAUGAACCGUUAUAACCGGCGAUACCCGAAUGGGGAAACCCAGUGUGACUCGUCACACUAUCAUUAACUGAAUCCAUAGGUUAAUGAGGCGAACCGGGGGAACUGAAACAUCUAAGUACCCCGAGGAAAAGAAAUCAACCGAGAUUCCCCCAGUAGCGGCGAGCGAACGGGGAGGAGCCCAGAGCCUGAAUCAGCAUGUGUGUUAGUGGAAGCGUCUGGAAAGGCGCGCGAUACAGGGUGACAGCCCCGUACACAAAAGCGCAUGUGCUGUGAGCUCGAUGAGUAGGGCGGGACACGUGGUAUCCUGUCUGAAUAUGGGGGGACCAUCCUCCAAGGCUAAAUACUCCUGACUGACCGAUAGUGAACCAGUACCGUGAGGGAAAGGCGAAAAGAACCCCGGCGAGGGGAGUGAAAAAGAACCUGAAACCGUGUACGUACAAGCAGUGGGAGCACAGGUUUACCUGUGUGACUGCGUACCUUUUGUAUAAUGGGUCAGCGACUUAUAUUCUGUAGCAAGGUUAACCGUAUAGGGGAGCCGGAGGGAAACCGAGUCUUAAUUGGGCGUUAAGUUGCAGGGUAUAGACCCGAAACCCGGUGAUCUAGCCAUGGGCAGGUUGAAGGUUGGGUAACACUAACUGGAGGACCGAACCGACUAAUGUUGAAAAAUUAGCGGAUGACCUGUGGCUGGGGGUGAAAGGCCAAUCAAACCGGGAGAUAGCUGGUUCUCCCCGAAAGCUAUUUAGGUAGCGCCUCGUGAAUUCAUCUCCGGGGGUAGAGCACUGUUUCGGCUAGGGGGCCAUCCCGGCUUACCAACCCGAUGCAAACUGCGAAUACCGGAGAAUGUUAUCACGGGAGACACACGGCGGGUGCUAACGUCCGUCGUGAAGAGGGAAACAACCCAGACCGCCAGCUAAGGUCCCAAAGUCAUGGUUAAGUGGGAAACGAUGUGGGAAGGCCCAGACAGCCAGGAUGUUGGCUUAGAAGCAGCCAUCAUUUAAAGAAAGCGUAAUAGCUCACUGGUCGAGUCGGCCUGCGCGGAAGAUGUAACGGGGCUAAACCAUGCACCGAAGCUGCGGCAGCGACGCUUAUGCGUUCGUUGGGUAGGGGAGCGUUCUGUAAGCCUGUGAAGGUGGCCUGUGAGGGUUGCUGGAGGUAUCAGAAGUGCGAAUGCUGACAUAAGUAACGAUAAAGCGGGUGAAAAGCCCGCUCGCCGGAAGACCAAGGGUUCCUGUCCAACGUUAAUCGGGGCAGGGUGAGUCGACCCCUAAGGCGAGGCCGAAAGGCGUAGUCGAUGGGAAACGGGUUAAUAUUCCCGUACUUGGUGUUACUGCGAAGGGGGGACGGAGAAGGCUAUGUUGGCCGGGCGACGGUUGUCCCGGUUUAAGCGUGUAGGUGUGUGUUCCAGGUAAAUCCGGUUCACUUUAACACUGAGGCGUGAUGACGAGGCACUACGGUGCUGAAGCAACAAAUGCCCUGCUUCCAGGAAAAGCCUCUAAGCAUCAGGUAACAUCAAAUCGUACCCCAAACCGACACAGGUGGUCAGGUAGAGAAUACCAAGGCGCUUGAGAGAACUCGGGUGAAGGAACUAGGCAAAAUGGUGCCGUAACUUCGGGAGAAGGCACGCUGACAUGUAGGUGAAGUGAUUUACUCAUGGAGCUGAAGUCAGUCGAAGAUACCAGCUGGCUGCAACUGUUUAUUAAAAACACAGCACUGUGCAAACACGAAAGUGGACGUAUACGGUGUGACGCCUGCCCGGUGCCGGAAGGUUAAUUGAUGGGGUCAGCGCAAGCGAAGCUCCUGAUCGAAGCCCCGGUAAACGGCGGCCGUAACUAUAACGGUCCUAAGGUAGCGAAAUUCCUUGUCGGGUAAGUUCCGACCUGCACGAAUGGCGUAAUGAUGGCCAGGCUGUCUCCACCCGAGACUCAGUGAAAUUGAACUCGCUGUGAAGAUGCAGUGUACCCGCGGCAAGACGGAAAGACCCCGUGAACCUUUACUAUAGCUUGACACUGAACAUUGAGCCUUGAUGUGUAGGAUAGGUGGGAGGCUUUGAAGUGUGGACGCCAGUCUGCAUGGAGCCGACCUUGAAAUACCACCCUUUAAUGUUUGAUGUUCUAACGUGGACCCGUGAUCCGGGUUGCGGACAGUGUCUGGUGGGUAGUUUGACUGGGGCGGUCUCCUCCUAAAGAGUAACGGAGGAGCACGAAGGUUGGCUAAUCCUGGUCGGACAUCAGGAGGUUAGUGCAAUGGCAUAAGCCAGCUUGACUGCGAGCGUGACGGCGCGAGCAGGUGCGAAAGCAGGUCAUAGUGAUCCGGUGGUUCUGAAUGGAAGGGCCAUCGCUCAACGGAUAAAAGGUACUCCGGGGAUAACAGGCUGAUACCGCCCAAGAGUUCAUAUCGACGGCGGUGUUUGGCACCUCGAUGUCGGCUCAUCACAUCCUGGGGCUGAAGUAGGUCCCAAGGGUAUGGCUGUUCGCCAUUUAAAGUGGUACGCGAGCUGGGUUUAGAACGUCGUGAGACAGUUCGGUCCCUAUCUGCCGUGGGCGCUGGAGAACUGAGGGGGGCUGCUCCUAGUACGAGAGGACCGGAGUGGACGCAUCACUGGUGUUCGGGUUGUCAUGCCAAUGGCACUGCCCGGUAGCUAAAUGCGGAAGAGAUAAGUGCUGAAAGCAUCUAAGCACGAAACUUGCCCCGAGAUGAGUUCUCCCUGAGACUUAAAGUCUCCUGAAGGAACGUUGAAGACGACGACGUUGAUAGGCCGGGUGUGUAAGCGCAGCGAUGCGUUGAGCUAACCGGUACUAAUGAACCGUGAGGCUUAACCUU